AGUCCACAUCGACGGGGAGGUUUGGCACCUCGAUGUCGGCUCAUCACAUCCUGGGGCUGUAGUAGGUCCCAAGGGUUGGGCUGUUCGCCCAUUAAAGUGGUACGCGGGCUGGGUUCAGAACGUCGUGGGACAGUUCGGUCCCUAUCCGUCGCAGGCGUAGGAAAUUUGAGAAGACCUGUCCUUAGUACGAGAGGACCGGGAUGGACGUACCUCUGGUGUACCAGUUGUCCUGCC
RNAcentral lists this ribosomal RNA (234 nucleotides) under Clostridioides difficile. RNAcentral's name for it is "partial 23S ribosomal RNA". It matches the Rfam family "Bacterial large subunit ribosomal RNA", at positions 2497 to 2730 of the family's 2925-position model. The record is from RNAcentral. Lineage: Bacteria; Bacillati; Bacillota; Clostridia; Peptostreptococcales; Peptostreptococcaceae.